This 509-nucleotide long non-coding RNA is filed under the name Mytilus galloprovincialis (Mediterranean mussel). The record is from RNAcentral. Lineage: Eukaryota; Metazoa; Mollusca; Bivalvia; Mytilida; Mytilidae.
UUUUAAAUCGGGCCAAAAUAUUACAAUUUUCACAUAGAAAUACUUGUGAUAAUACUAUUAAGACAAAAAUAUUUUUUCUAGCACUUUACUUUACAAUUUAUGGAGCUAUGACCCCUUAAAUAAACAUAAUUUGUAUUAAAAGGUCAAUUUUGGUACUUUUUUCCAUAAUUUUUAAUUGUUUUUCGCAUUAUUAACCUUGGCCGCUAUCUACGAUCCAAAAAGUUUUUAUAUUGAUGAAAUCUAUAUCAAAAUUGGAAUCUUUUGGUUACAACACAUUUUGGAUCGUAGGUGGCGGCCAAGGUGUUUUUAAAGCUUUUAGGUCUGAAAAAUGCACAAACUCGUCAUAUUUUGACAAAAUGUCCAAAAUGGGUUUACUUUGGAGAAUAUUAUGUUCUCUUAUGAAAAGAACUGAUAUAUUUAGCAUUUAGACUUUUGAAAUAGACCCAUUUACGAACCAAAUUGAGACCUUUGUGGUGUUUUAUGAUAAAGUUGAUAUUUUAGGCCAUUUU